ACGCUCGACACCUACGAGAGGCAGCAGUGGGGAAUAUUGCACAAUGGGGGAAACCCUGAUGCAGCAACGCCGCGUGAAGGAAGACGGUUUUCGGAUUGUAAACUUCUGUUCUUAGUGAAGAUAGUGACGGUAGCUAAGGAGCAAGCCACGGCUAACUACGUACCAGCAGCCGCGGUAAUCUGAGCGGGCUGGCAAGGC
RNAcentral lists this ribosomal RNA (198 nucleotides) under uncultured bacterium. Its description in RNAcentral is "partial 16S ribosomal RNA". It matches the Rfam family "Bacterial small subunit ribosomal RNA", at positions 328 to 539 of the family's 1533-position model. The record is from RNAcentral.